RNAcentral lists this long non-coding RNA (281 nucleotides) under Elaeis guineensis (African oil palm). RNAcentral's name for it is "long non-coding RNA (EGUI_LNC056105)". The record is from RNAcentral. Lineage: Eukaryota; Viridiplantae; Streptophyta; Magnoliopsida; Arecales; Arecaceae.
CACCAUGGUGAUUUGAAAGUAACUCACUGUACUUUAGUACCAGACCAUCUAAGUUUCUAACUUAGUGAUGAAAGGAUACUGAUUGUAGUCAAGUACUUAUCAAAUCGGUGUGUGAGUCACGAUGGAAUUGAUCCCUCUGAAUUGGUAAGAGAUAUGCAUCAGUGUAUUUCAAUUUAGCAAAAUCUUGACCAAAGUAAUCCAUGAGAUAGAUUUAAAAGAUUGAAAUAUAAUAUGGUUGAUUUAAUUAGGAUUGACAAUUAAACCCUAGGUCACCUUGAGCA